CAGCCGCCGCGGUAAAACGGAGGGUGCAAGCGUUAAUCGGAAUUACUGGGCGUAAAGCGCACGCAGGCGGUUUGUUAAGUCAGAUGUGAAAUCCCCGAGCUUAACUUGGGAACUGCAUUUGAAACUGGCAAGCUAGAGUCUUGUAGAGGGGGGUAGAAUUCCAGGUGUAGCGGUGAAAUGCGUAGAGAUCUGGAGGAAUACCGGUGGCGAAGGCGGCCCCCUGGACAAAGACUGACGCUCAGGUGCGAAAGCGUGGGGAGCAAACAGGAUUAGAUACCCCAGUAGUCCCUGUCUCUUAUAU
Molecule: ribosomal RNA, 301 nt
Filed under: uncultured bacterium
Lineage: Bacteria
Description: partial 16S ribosomal RNA
Rfam family: Bacterial small subunit ribosomal RNA
Source: RNAcentral